AGUUCCCCAGGAGUGUAGCAGGCAGUCUUGUAGCUCUUUGAAGGUGUGUACAGUAACGCUAAUAAUUAAACACACGAGUGACAAUUUUUACCUUCAGAACCUCACAAGAAAUGCAGAAAAGUUCAAGCUACAAAACAUUAAGAACAGAAGUGUUAGUCAGUCUGUUACGAAGCGUAGACGGAGACAAGCGCGGGCGAGCGGUGAGAUGGCGUGUUACUGAACACAGAACGAGAAUCGGAUUGGAACAGAGCAGACACCACACACAUAUCGUCGCGUAUCCUCACUUGAGUGUGCAGAAUAAAUGCAGUGGAUGAUCAUUUGAUUAAACACCGAACUCUGGACUACUGCCUCAUUGUGUGUUCUUGCUGCAAGAACAUAUGACCUGUAAUAUAUUUAUUACACGUACAAAUGUGAUGUUGUCCAAGCUUGCCACUCUUUGGAUUUUGGUGAAUUGAUGAUGACGCUUUAAUGCUCUUUUGCAUGUGCUUUAAAUGAAUUCAGACAAACUGAAGUGACUAAGUUGUAAGCUGGGCCAGCGGAGAAGCAACAGAAGGAUUACAGAGUUGAGACGCAUAACAAUUAAAAAAAAAAAACUUAAAAGACGAAAUCUCUCUGUUUCAUGUGUCUCCUGUUGGUACUUUAUGGGAUGGCUGUAAGUCUGGUAAUAGAAUACAGUUUCGUUGCUCAGUCGAUGGACAGGGCUACUGCUCAGAACUAUUGCAGGCAGCGCUAUGGGGAUUUGGCUAUCAUCACUACUGAAGAGGAAAACCAGAGAGCUGUGACGGUUACAGGGCAAAACAACUUUAAGUCUUGGAAUGGGCUGGACAGAAUUACACCACAUGUCAACACCUGGAAGUGGUCUUAUGGAAAAGAAGUAAAUUUCACAAAGUGGAACCCCGGCGAGCCGAAUGAUCAGUUUUCAGGAGAGAAUUGUGCUGUUAUGAAUUCAAAUGGCUGGUGUGAUACUACCUGUGGGGGAUAUUUAACUUCCAUUUGUUGUAGGAGGUUCGUGUUGGUGAAGGAGAAAAAAACAUGGGAUGAGACUCUCAAGUACUGCAGGACGCACUACACUGACUUGACCUUUGUGGAUUCGAGAACACUGCUAGACCUGCUUAAAACAGAGACUCAACAAGCUCAAACAGCCAGUGUGUGGACAGGUCUGCGUUUCCUCGAUGGACAAUGGUUCUGGGUGAACAGGAUGCCGCUGGGGAGCCUGGUAUCACUGCCUUCAUGCCCUGUCCAACCCUAUCGCUGUGGUGUGUACAACUUCAACACGAACGUCUGGGAGAACAGAGACUGCAACGAGAAGCUUAAUUUCCUCUGCUAUUAUUACUGAAGAUGACUCUCUGCAAAUGGAAUAAGAAGAACAUCUCCCUCAAGAAGCGUUCUUCAAGAAUUCAUUCAGAUCUAGAUAUUAUGUAGUAUGUUUAACCCAGGAUCAUCACUUAAACUACAACUUAAUCUAUAAUAUAACAGUGAAUUGCGGCAGGUGUAAUGAUUUCAUGUUAGAACAUUAUGUAUUUCAGAGUAAAUGUUUGGUGGUUGUUUUUCAGUGACUUGUAGGGAAAAACUAGAACGCUAGUGUUUAAAAAAAUUUAAUGGAAUGAAGAUAACCAUUAAUGCUUGUUAGCUAAUCCAAGAUAACUUGAAGGCUGAAGUUAUGUUGUUCUAUAGAGGCCUGCUUUCUUAGUUUGCAUUUGACGGCUUUGAAUAGGAAAUCUGAUGUGCAAAGGUAUAGUACUUUUCGACAUUACUUUGCAUUGACCUUGAGGCACAAAAUACAUUUAAUCAUUGUUAUUCCUGUACUGAAUACUAUCCUAAAAACACAUUGCUGUAAAGAGAAUACCUCUAAGUUGUUAAAAAUGUCAACUUUAAGUAAAGUAAGACAUGUAAAAACUAGACUCAAUUCACCCCCUGUUGACAUCUAUACCACAGACUAUGUGGAUCUUUGUGGAUUGUAUGUUCCUGAAGCACCCUGCUGUUCAUAUGUUAAAACUUCUCUUGCAUUUUUUUUGUUUGUUUGUUUUUGAGGAUAAGCAGUAAGGAUAAGGGAUGGAUUUCCUUACUGCUUAUCCUGCAUAGGGUUGCGUAGGAGCCUGGAAUCUAUCCCAGGGAUCUCAGGGAACCCAUUGCAGGGCACAAUGACAUACACACUCACACACCCAUUCAUACAUUACGGACAAUUUUGGAAAUGCCAAUCAGCCUACAACAAAUGUCUUUGGACUGUGGGAAGAAUCUGGAAUACCUGGAGGAAACCCCCAAAGCACGGGGAGAGCAUGCAAACUAUGUGCUCACAUGGCAGAGACAGAAUUCAAACCACUAAACCACUGUGCUCCCCCAUGCAUACACCCCCCCCCCCCCCGAUAUAUAUAUAUCUACAUAUAUAAAUCAAUAUCUAUAACCAACAUUUAGAAUUAUUACUUAAGCAUAAUCUAAUAAUUGAUAUUAGUUAACAAGCAUAAUCUAUAUGUAUAAUCAAUAUUUAGAAGCAUAAUCUAAAUCCAUAGAACACUUUUUGAUCAAGUUAUAUUCUAAGUGUGUAUUGAGUUAGAUGAAUUCUGUGUCUUACUGUACAGUAAUAGUUUUUCUGUAUCAGCCUGUACCUUCCUACAUAGAAAUAAAUUUGCAUUAGACAUUCGUUGAAAACUGCUUUUGUAAGUAAAUAACUUUGAGGCUGGAAACCAGUUAACGAUUUAGGAUAGGGCCUGAGGAAGGGAGGUAGAUAUCAGCUAGGACAGCAGAUAGAAAUAGACAGAAGCUCACUGAGACAUAAGAAGGGAGUGUUGGUCAGAGAGCAACAAAAAACAAAGACUCUGUCUGAGUGAAACCUUUUU
Ictalurus punctatus (channel catfish) is the source of this 2834-nucleotide long non-coding RNA. RefSeq lists it as uncharacterized. The transcript is spliced from 3 exons. The record is from RefSeq and is a predicted model, not a curated record. Lineage: Eukaryota; Metazoa; Chordata; Actinopteri; Siluriformes; Ictaluridae.